Molecule: ribosomal RNA, 429 nt
Filed under: Fusobacteriota bacterium
Lineage: Bacteria; Fusobacteriati; Fusobacteriota
Description: Fusobacteria bacterium partial 16S ribosomal RNA
Rfam family: Bacterial small subunit ribosomal RNA
Source: RNAcentral
UAGGGAAUCUUCGGCAAUGGACGAAAUUCUGACCGAGCAACGCCGUGUGAGUGUAGAAGGUUUUCGGAUCGUAAAACCCUUUUGUCAGAGAAGAACAAGGACGUUAGUAACUGAACGUCCCCUGACGGUAUCUAACCAGAAAGCCACGGCUAACUACGUGCCAGCAGCCGCGGUAAUACGUAGGUGGCAAGCGUUGUCCGGAUUUAUUGGGCGUAAAGCGAGCGCAGGCGGUUUCUUAAGUCUGAUGUGAAAGCCCCCGGCUCAACCGGGGAGGGUCAUUGGAAACUGGGAGACUUGAGUGCAGAAGAGGAGAGUGGAAUUCCAUGUGUAGCGGUGAAAUGCGUAGAUAUAUGGAGGAACACCAGUGGCGAGGGCGGCUUUCUGGUCUGUAACUAACGCUGAGGCUCAAAAGCGUGGGGAGCAACCAGG